UGCAGUGUCCAGUCAGUAACUGUUGUCCAACAAGGACAUUAAAUUAAAGAUUCAUUUUUUAUGUGGUUUGAUUUUUAAACCAUCUUAACACAAAAUUCAUGUCAUUCAGCUGUGAGGAUGGAGAGUAGAAAGAGAAGAUGACAGGAGGAGGCAGCGGGUCGGUCUAAUGCAGGUACUCAGGUCCAGUUCUGUUAGAUGCAUCCUACAGACCGGGACCGGCUCUGACGGGCCUGGUACCGAGCCGAUCAGCUGAUCCAGGUGUUGAAGCAGUGAUUUGGUUUUGGCCUUGGAGAACCUGAAGCUUAAAGCUUCCUGGUGUUUUUUUUCUCUUGUGACUGAAAUUUGACCUAAAUUGUAAAAUAAAUCAUCUUUUGCUACUGACA
Molecule: long non-coding RNA, 383 nt
Organism: Xiphophorus couchianus (Monterrey platyfish)
Lineage: Eukaryota; Metazoa; Chordata; Actinopteri; Cyprinodontiformes; Poeciliidae
Exons: 2
Source: RefSeq, a predicted model, not a curated record